GUAAGAUCCCAGCUAUUUUUGGGUAUUUUUAUGGUUUAAUUAUAAUAUAAAAGUAGAAAUUAAAUUGAUAAUUGAUAUAGAAAUUGGGGGAAGAAAUUAGAGAGGAAGAAAACUUGGGGAAGAAGAAGAAUACAGAGAUGAGAGAUAAAUUCUGAAAAUUGGCUUAAUGCCUUUCAUUCAACUCGUCCAACCCUUAUAACAAAAAUCUCAAAUAAUAAUUAAAAUCUGAAAAUAACAAUUAAGAUAUUUAAUUAUUUUUUUCCAAUCUCCAAUUGCACUUGGUCCCGACUCAUUAAUAAAUUUCGGCCCACUUGCUUUCGGCCCAGCUGCAAAACUCAAUCCCACUUCACUUCCAAAAUUAUUGCCGUUCUUCAACUCACCACCGUCGCCACCGCUGUUGCCGCCGCCGUCACCAUCAUGGGUCAUGACA
Molecule: long non-coding RNA, 430 nt
Filed under: Erythranthe guttata (spotted monkey flower)
Lineage: Eukaryota; Viridiplantae; Streptophyta; Magnoliopsida; Lamiales; Phrymaceae
Description: long non-coding RNA (EGUT_LNC002553)
Source: RNAcentral